AUUUCAGGAAUUGGAGAUGCCCCUGUGGCUGAGGAGGAGCUGGGGCUGGGGCCGGGGCCAGGGCCGGGGCUCUGACCUGCCACUCUGCCCCACAUUAAGGGCAGAGACCGAAGAGGUGGCUGCCUGGACCUUGGAGCCCCAGGGUGGGCGGCCACCUUGGCCAGGACUCGGGCGCCCCCUUACAGAAGGCUGUGCUCACCCCUUCUUUUCUCGCCCCUGCUCUGUGCUGCAUUUGGAAAGAACCUAAAUGUCCUCCCUCUGAAGACUGGUUAAACAUCUGGUUAUGAUCCAGUGCUGCUCAUCUGACACCUGAGGGCCGCUGGAGACCCAGGGACACUCCUGCUGCGGCUCAUGUUUGGAAGCUGUCCGGAGGCGGGACUUCCUCUUCCUCCAGGGGCCGCCGUCCGGAGGCGGGACUUCCUCUUCCUCGGGGACAACUGUCUUUUUCUCUUAAGGCCUUGGACUGCCUGGAUGAGGCUAUAAUAUGGUCAGUACUCUGCUCUACCCAAAGUCUCCUGAUUGAAAUAUUAACCUCAUCCAAGAAACACCCUCACAGCGACGUCUACACUGGUGUUUGACCAAAUAGCUGGGGACCGUGGCCUGGUCGAGCUGACACAAAAGUAACCAUCACAGCUGCUGCUAUGGUCUGAAUGUUGAUGUCACCCCCAGAUUCAUUUGUUAGAACUUAAGCCCCAAGGCGAUGGCAUCACUGGUGGGCUUUGGGAGAUGAGGAGGAUAUGAAUGGGACCAGUAGCCUCAUAAGAGUUUUGAGGGUCCUGGUUGCCCUUCCCCACCCUCCCGUCCCUGCCACUGGGUGAGGACACAGCAAGAAGCCGCCGUCCUGGGAGCAGAGAGCAGAAAGCAGCCCUCACCAGACGCUGAAUCUGCUGGGGCCUCGGUCCUGGACGUCCCAGCCUCCAGAACUGAGCGAUGAAAUUCUGGUUACAAAUUGCCCCCUCUGAGGUAUUUUGUUUUAGCAGAAGGAACAGACGAGGAUGACCACCGAGGCCCUUCUCAGGCUGCCGCGGGUCUCCAGGAUGGGGACAGUCAGCUGGGGCCAACCGAGCUGCAUGUGGUCAAGGGCCCAUGCAUGUGACCAGGGCCCGCCUCCCACGUCACCCAGUGCACCCUCAGCAUGGGACACGGACCUAGACACUGCCGGGGUCUCCGUCCUUGCAGGCACUGCCAGGCGCCCCUCCCUGGGAGAAGCUGCAGCUCUGAGGCUACGGUCUUGCAGGUCAGCCACCACCUGGCUUUGUGGUCUGUUAUGCCCGGCCUAGUGUCCAGGGUGGUGACAUUUAUUUGAACAAAGACCAGUCUCCACCACCAAAGUCAUGGCUCUGCUGUUGCUUCCAGAACCAAAGAAAGGCUGGCUUCUGGGCUGGGCGUGGUGAUUCACGCCUGUAAUCCCAGCACUUUGGGAGGCCGAGACGGGCAGAUCACGAGGCCAGGAGUUCGAGACCAUCUUGGCUAACAUGGUGAAACCCUAUCUCUACUAAAAAUACAAAAAAAAUUAGCUGGGUGUGGUGGCACGUGCCUGUAAUCUCAGCAACUCAGGAGGCUGAGGCAGGAGAAUGGCUUCAACCUCGGAGGCGGAGGUUGCAGUGAGCCAAGAUCGCACCACUGCACCCCAGCGUGGGCAACAGAGCAAGACGCUGUCUCAAAAAAAAAAAAAAAAAAAAAAAAAAAAAGUCGGCUUCUCAAGCAGGUGGAAUCAGCGCUUGAUGAGACUCUGUAAUGACUGCAUAAUGAAGGCCCUCCCGGUCCUCCCCCAGCCGGUGCUCCUGUGAAACGGAGCCUGGGAAGCUCCCUUACUGGAGAAGUCUUUCGGCCGGAGAAUCGAUUCCUGCAGCCCCUUGUUUCAAUUCCGUGAGGCUUGAAGGGAGGGGCCGGCGGGCACCUGCAGACAAAUGCAUCCCAGGUGUAAGGAGGGUGCCCGUGGUCGCCCACGUGGCCAGCACAGGGCCGAGGGGGAUGAGGGCAGGGGCUGCCGCCUGCACUCAGCUCCAGGCCUGCCUCAGGGGAGCUGCAAAGCUACUCAUUCUCAUCAGCUUCAAGCUGACAUCCUUUUUGUCUUCAGUCCAGUAUUAGCUUAAAGGGAAAAGCGUUCUUGUUUGAAAUGUUAACUGGGUGCAUUCUGCUCGUUUUAAUUGUUUCAUUUGCCUAUUACGGCAGCCACAGCAGACGUGUUCCGAUUAGCAAAGAGGAAAAUCUAUCCACUGGAUCAAACUUGUAAAUGUGCAUCUCUCGGGGACUCUGUCCACAUCAGGCCUGUCCCUGGGGUCAUGGGGUGUGGGGAGGGGAGGCGAGGGGCCAGUGCUGGCCAGGUGGGACGAAGGCCACUGGGUCCGUUCCAGUCAUUGACUGCUCUCUUCUCUCCUCGUCCCUCUCACUCAGGCCAGGUCCUGACCCCCUUCCUGCUAAGGGCGGGUGGGCUUGGCAGCCUCUGCUGGGCACAGGGUGGUGGCCACAUCUGCUGCCUAAAAGGGCUGCCCCGGAGCAUCCCUGGGGGUGCUGUAUCUGCACCUCCAGCACUGCAGGCCCCUCACAGUGUCCCAGCCCUGUUGCCGGGUGGCUGCUCCCCUGCCCUUGGGGCUAGGGCAUCCAGGUCCUUUGGGGGCUCUGCUGGCGGUGCCCAGACCUGUGGGAGCUGAGCCCCUCCUGAUCCAGCCUCCCUGCUGGGUGCCCUCCCCUGGGCCUGCAGGGCGGGAGCCCCCGGGGCUGCUUCUCCUGGGGCCUGGGCCGUUACAGGGUGAACACGAAGCGAGGGCGCACUAAACACGCUCCGUAACUACCUGGGCUUGACUCGGUCUGUCCUCCACACCGCCCUCACCCAGGCCUAACCUGUGUGUGGCACGGCGGGAGGGGCCCCCUGCUGUCUGGGUGGUUGGUGGGCCACUGCACCUGCUCCAUCCCACCCGUGGCCUGCACAGCCUGUCCCCACCCUGCAUCACUGAGGAGCCUCCUGGGGUUCUGCCGUGGUCCAUGCUGCAGACCUGCCUGGGACAGCCCCUGCCAGGCCCCCCAGGCUAUCCCUGCUGGGCACUCACUCUGGCCAACCACCAUGGCCUGCAGCCUCCCCUGCUUCUCACACUGCCUGGCGUGGGACCCUGUCUCAGAGAGGAGCUCCCCGCUGCGUCCCUCUCUGCAUCGGGACGUGCACACUCUGCACUCCCUCUCCAGAAUAUUUCUCCUUCUCCAGUGACAGCCCGCCAAGCUUGCUCUCAGCUCUUUGAGGAUCAGCUUAGAGAUGGCUUCUUCCAGGAAGUCCUCCCUGAUGCUCCAAAGUGGCUGGUUCCUUCUUUCAUGCCCAAACUGCCCCUCACAGCUGCUCACUCCAACAAAGGCACUGGCCUCUGUGAUGAACCAGGAGACUGAGAGAGCUGGGGAGAUGCUCCAGGGCCUGUCCUGGACUGUCUUGAUUCCCUGGGGCCUGGCACAUGGCCCGGGGCCUGGAACUCAGACAAGAGCUCCACAGGAGCUGAUGGCAGAAUGAAUGAAUGAAUGAAUGAGGUGCAGGCUCGGGGUCCUUGGAGCCUCCCAGAUUUCCAGGCAAGGCCUGCCGGGCCCUCAGAGGAUCACAGCACCCUCACGCUCUGGGACAGGUCCAAGCGCAGCCCGCGUGGCCCCUACAAGCCUGCUGUCAUUGGCUAAGGUGAGUUUACCUGAAGGCUCAGGGACCCUGGGGGAUGGGCUGAGGGGAGCGGCAGUGUUGCUGGGGACACAGAUCCUUGGUGCUGGGUAGACAAGGUUGCCCACCAGGGACCCUCAGGCCCACAGAAACACACUCAGGACACAUACGUGACACCCCAACAUGCACACACGCUGACACACAUGUGCACACACAUGCACGGAGAGACACAACGACACCACACAGGCACAUGCAGACACAUGUGUGCACACAUAUGCAGAUACACAGACACCCCAACACAUGCACAUAUAGACACACCCCAACACACUGACACACGUGUGCACACACAUGCACACAGACACAACACCUCAGCAUAUACACACACGCACACACAUACACAGAUACAUAGAUACCCCAACACAUGCACACAUAGACACAGACACCCCAACACAGACUGACACACACAUGCAAACAUGCAUCCCAACACACACACUGGCACAUGUGCACACAUCACACCGAUGCACAUGGACCCCCACACUCACACACACUGACACGCAUGUGCUCACACAUGCACAUAUACAUACACACUUAGCUGCCUCAGACACACACACCCAGGACCCUCAGGCAUGUGCCCCACAAUGACCUACAAACACACAAGCUCUCAAGGGUACCCCCACAUACACACCACCUCAUGGACACACAACCCACGAACACGCGCCACACCUUCCUGCUCUCCCUCACACACACAGACACACACCUCCCACCUGGGUGUCCUCCGCCUGCACUUGCCUGGCAGCCUGCUGUGGUUUCCCUGGAAACACUGUCACCAUGGUGGCUUUGCAGAGCCUGGGGUGCAGCUCCAGCGCAAAGCCCAACCUGGGGCACAGGCAGCCAGUGGGCAUGGACUGGAUUCAGAAGAGACGCCCAGUGGAGGGCUCAGGUGGGAGGGGGACAGGCCCUGAGAGGCACAGUGGGGGCAGGGCAGCUCACUCCCGCCAGAGUCCCUGCAGCUGGGCUGUGCCACCCCUGCCAGGUCCUGAGAUGGGAGGAAGUGCAGCCCACCCUGCCCCUGCCUGCCCAGGUCAGCAGUGCCCACGGGCAGAAUCCCUUCCUGAGCCCCCUGCUCUCCUGGAGACAGCAUGGGCCACAGGAGGAAGGAAGGAGCUGGGGAGAAGGUGGGGCCUGCAGCCUGGCUUGCCAGGGAGGAGGGGUGGAUGGGGACCAAGAGCCAGGAAUCCCGGCACAGCCGGGAGGAGCCGAUGAGCCAGGGCAAGGGGUCAACACUGGAGCCUGAUCUCCCAGGAAGGGUGCUGUUCUGGGCCCCGGCUGGGCCAGAUGAGGCACCACGUUCCCAGGCCCUGUGUUGGCAGCAGGCCUACCUCUGCCCUCCCAGGCACUCUGGGGUGUGGUCCCAGGGCCUCCCCACUUGAAUGGAGGCCAGCCAGGUCCGGCAGGUGGGAGCACCCAGGCAUGCGCUGGGUGUGCAGAGGGAGGGCCCAUGCUGCCCCACGGUUACCAAGCUGCAGGGACAGAGCACGGGGGCUGCCUCUGUGGCUCUUGGUGGGGCACGGGGCUGUGCUGGGAGGCCCAGACAUCAGGGAGGGAGGAUGGGCUUGGAAUGGGGACUAUAAAAGGUCACGGUGGGGAGGGCCGCUGACCCCUGUCCUUCUCACGGGGGGUCUCCAGCACACCCUGCUGCCACUGGCCCCUCGGCCUGGAGCCAGGCUCCAUUGUGGAGUGGGUAGUGGCCACUGUGGAAGGGUUGGGGACACUUAGAGGCUGAGCUGCUGGAUGCAGGUUGACAUUUGAAGCCUGGCCUGAUGGAGCUGGGCUUUCCCUGGAGCGCUGGACAGGCCACCCAGCCUUCUGGCUCUGCUUCCCUCCUGCAUCUCAUGCUGGGAUUGAUGGGUGGUCAGGGUGCCUGCUCUGAGCUAAGGCCUGACUGGCCCCAAAUUCUGGGACCCAUGCAGAGGGAAGGGGACAUCUGUGGUCCUUGGAGGAAGGAGUCAAAACAAUUGGGGCAGAAAAUGGGAUGAGUGGGCAAGGGCGGGAGAGCACAGCUGAGAAUGCCCGGGGAUGAGGAGUGAGCAGGGACACUGCGCAGCUGCUCUGGCCUGGACUGAAGCCCACCAGGGUACACCCUGAGGCCUGGUAGAGUGCCAGGGCCACACUGCUGAGGCUCCCUGUCCUCGAAGUCCGCUUGGAGCCCUCCUACCUCUCCAAAGGCGGCAUUCUCCCCUCCACCGAGCCCGUGUGUUCAUCCACACAGUCCCCAUUUCUCAAGGCAGGGGGCUUGCAAGACAGGAGCCAGGCCAGGUCCCGGCCACAUCUGGUCCACAUGGCUUGUUUGUGGUGUGGUGCCCGCAGCCGUUCCUCCAGAAACAUGCCUCAGCAGCCCAGCACCUUCCAGAGAGCCUUGCACACAGGCAUGCAUGAGGAAGCUGUGAGGAGUGUGAUGACAACAGCAAUAAUGACAAAGGUGAUGACAGUGGUGUGAGGUGAUAAUGAAGACGGUGGUGGUGAAGAUGAGAUGAAGAUGAUGGUGGUGAUGGUGAUGGUGACAGUGAUGACAGUGAUGGUGGUGUAAUGGUGAUGAGGUGAUGAAGGUGGAGUGAUGGUGAUGAGAUGAAGAUGAUGGGGAUAAUGGUGGUGAUGACAGUGAUAGUGAUGGUGUGAUGAUGGUGACAGUGACUGUGAUGGUGAUGAUGAUAGUGAUGACAGUGAUAGUGAUGGUGAUGAUGAUGGUGAUUGUGAUGGUGAUGGUGACAGUCACUGUGAUGGUGACAGUCACAUAGUGAUUGUGAUCUGAUGAUGAAUGUGAUGACGAUGACAUUUAUAGUGAUGGUGUGAUGAUGAUGAUGAUGGUGAUGGUCACGGUGAUAGUGAUGGUGAUGAUAGUGAUGACAGUGAUAGUGAUGGUGAUGAUGAUUGUGAUGGUGACAGUGAUAGUGAUGGUGAUGAUGAUGAUGGUGAUUGUGAUGACAGUGAGAGUGAUGGUGGUGAUGAUGGUGAUUGUGAUGUGAUGAUGAAUGUGAUGGUGAUGGUGAUGAUUGUGAUGGUGACAGUGAUGGUGAUUGUGAUCUGAUGAUGAAUGUGAUGAUGAUGACGACAGUGAUAGUGAUGGUGAUGAUGAUGGUGAUUGUGAUGUGAUGAUGAAUGUGAUGAUGAUGAUGGUGACAGUGAUGGUGAUCAUAGUGAUUGUGAUAUGAUGAUGAAUGUGAUGACGAUGACAUUUUAGUGAUGGUGUGAUGAUGAUGAUGGUGAUGGUGACAGUGAUAGUGAUGGUGAUGAUAAUGAUGACAGUGAUAGUGAUGAUGAUGAUGGUGGUGAUUGUGAUGACAGUGACAGUGAUGGUGUGAUGAUGAUGGUGAUGAUGGUGAUGGUCACAGUGAUAGUGAUGGUGAUGAUGAUAGUGAUGACAGUGAUAGUGGUGAUGAUGAUGGUGAUUGUGAUGACAGUGAUAGUGAUGGUGUGAUGAUGGUGAUAGUGAUGAUGAUGAUGAUGGGGAUCGUGGCACACCUGAGCUAACCUUUUGGGCCAGCAGCGCCCCCUGCCACUUGCUGGACACCCCAGGCGCCGGCAUGCUGGUUGCUCCCCUGCUGUCUCCCAGCUCUCAGGCAGUAACUCUCUCAGUCAUGUGAAGACAUUGAAAUGCAGCCGUCGUGCCUGGCAUGCGGUUGGGCAUUAAUUACAUCUCCUUUUGCAAAGCCUAAUCAACUUCUCCUAAUUAACCUGUUUCCUGUCAAUGUGAAAUAAUUGAAUUCACUCGGAAUUGGCUGUGCACAUAGAGCCAUCAGAAGCCUACGUGGCUAUUUGUAAUGGUGGAGAUUUUGCAAACAACAUACCUUGUUUUGAAAACACAUUUUCAAUCCCUGUGGGCAUAUGUCCCUCUGAUGCACAAGCUUUCCGUGCUUUCCUAGAGCAGGGAUGCUUCAUUCAUGGGGUCUGUGAACUUGGACGAGAAAAAGCAACAUCUCUAUUUUACUAAGCUCUGACUGAAAUCUGGCAUUUCCUUCCACGAGGAACGCCAGCCAUCCCAGGGCUUUAUCUCAAAUAGAAAACACAGGUGUGUUUGUAUCACUUUGCAGUUGUUGCAGGUUUUUCAAACUUGUCCACACUCACCUCCACCUCUAAAACUCAGGGGCUGCUGGACGCUGGGUUUUGUUAUCCAGUGCGACGUGUAAUGCAGCCACUGCCACCCUCACACAUCUGCUUUGUUGAUAUUUUGACAUCUGCUUCACUAUGGCUGUUUUCCUUGGUGGCCGUAUGUGUUUUUGUCCAAGUAAAUCAUGAAUGGUAGAGCGCAGGGAUUUCUAGGGCAGUGAAAUGAUUCCAUACGAUACUGUGAUGGUGGACACACGGCAUCGUGCAUUUGUCAAAACUGAUGGAACAGCAGCAGUGGUCCCCAACCUUUUUGGCACCAGGGACCAGGGACCAGUUUUAUGAAAGACAUUUUUCUUAUAGACCAGAGGCUGGGGGGGGCGAUGAUUGGGGAUGAAACUGGCCCACCUCAGGUCAUCAGGCAUUAGAUUCUCGUGAGGAGCUCGGAGCCUAGCUCCCUGGCAUGGGCAGUUCACAAUAGGAUUCAUGCUCGUAUGAGAAGCUAAUGCUGCCGCUGAUGUGACGGGAGGUGAUGCUCAGGUGGUAAUGCUUUGCCUGCCCACCUCUCACCUCCUGCUGUGUGGCCUGGUUCCUAACAGGCCCUGGACUGGCACCAGUGCCGAUGCAAAUGACGGGCAUAAGGGCACUGUGGGUGGGGGCUCAGGGAAUGCCCUGUGCUACCUGCUCCCUGCUCUGUAAACCAAAAACUGCUCUACAAAAUAAAGUCUAUUCACUUAAAAAAAAAACUCUUAAUUAUGAAAAAAAUUAUCCCCAUGCUGUCAAAACGCCCCCUCCCCACAGGAGCAGAUGCUCUAGGGACAGCUGGCCCAGGCUCAGGCCAGCUGAGCCCCUUGCCAGCAGGCGUGCAGCCCACGCCUGCCGGAACAGGGGAACAGCAUUGGCCUCUGUGUCCUGGAACAGGGUGGGAUGCCUGGGGCAGCACAGCCCCCAGAUCUAUGGCCAGGUACAGCCACCGGCAGUGAACACCUCCGGAGGUGGCCUGCAAGGAAGGAACGGUCACGUCGUUGAAAGUGCAAUUCAGCAUCCACACGGCACACGCACGCGCACACGUGGGUACACAGCAUCCACACGGCACACACACGCGCACGCGUGGGUACACAGCAUCCACACGGCACAAGCACGCGCACGCGUGGGUACACAGCAUCCACACGGCACACACAUGAGCACUCAUGGGCACACAGCAUCCAUAUGGCACAUGCACACACACACGGGUACACAGCAUCCACAUGGCACACGCAAGGCACACAUGGGCACACAGCAUCCACACGGCACACGCACGGGCACACAGCAUCCACACGGCACACACACGGGCACACGGCAUCCACACGGCACACGCACGUGGACACACGGGCACACGGCAUCCACAUGGCACACGCACGGGCAUGCGGCAUCCACACGGCACAUGCAAGGCACAUGGCAUCCACAUGGCACACGCACGCGCACACGGCACCCACACGGCACACGCACGGCACACGCACGCGCACGCAGGGGCACACGGCACCCACACGGCACACGCACGCGCAGGCACGGGCACACGGCAUCCACACGGCACACGCACGCACACGCAUGGGCACCCAGUCGCACAUGCGUGUCAGUAUCAGCAAGCAGCCCCACUGCAGGACAGGCCCAGUAUGCUCCUUUCCCAGUUUUGAGGAGCUGAAAUUCUUCCUUAAUCUAAAUGUUUUCCGUUCGGAACGCACACGUGUUGUGUUUUUUCCACAGUCAUUAGAUUCAGAGUAAUUAAACCAAAACGCUCAUUUCUGGAAAGAGACAAAGUAUUUUGAGUUUCUACAUCAAUAUUUAACAUCUGCCUAACAUUUUAUAUGCUGCCCUGGUGGGUAAAACGAUUUCUACUCUCCAUAAAGAUGGACUCUGCCACAAAUCCCUCAAGAAAGAAAGAUAUUUUCUUGUGAAGAGUCAGCCAUAGUGUCUGCCUUACGUAGAGCUUGACAGUUUUUUUUCUUAUUUUAAAAUCUCAGAGCCAAAUUCAGUUCGACAAUCAAGCUAAAUGAUUAGUCGGCUUUAGAGCUGAUGUGUGUGAAGUUGGAAUUUAGCACAUUAAAUAUUUCAGGGAGAAAGUGCGCAACGUGAGACAGAAAGGCAGAGGCUUCCUCUAGAACUCAGCCUGGAGUGGUUGCAGGAAAAUGCGCCAAUUAGCAGGGGCUUCGUUCUCGCCAAUGUGACAGCUCAGAACAUUUGCAAUCCAUUUUGGAGGAUGAGAAAGGAAUACUGUGCUCCCCUUCGUGCAAAAACCAAGCCAUGCAGAACAAAAUUACAGGCCAGGAGGACAUGCCAGGGCCUGUAUGGACAGUGCUGGAUGGUGCAGAACCCACGUGCUGGGUCCCUGUGUGCUCAUGCCCAUCCAGAGAUGCCCUGGGGACACAAACAGGCCCUCAAAUGCAGAGGGCCUGUCCAGGGAGCAGGUGAGAGGGAAACGCAAAGACAAGUGGUGCCUCCAGGGUGGCCCAGCUCAAGCCUGCCAGAGCACACCUGCCUCGGCACCGGGGCUUCCGGGACCCCACCACUGAAUGCCAGGCCACCCCAGGCAGGGGACAGGCUGCGAGAAUGGGCCUCAAGCCCUUGCUGAUCUCCUCGCCAGCCACAGUGGGACAAGCUCUGAUGGGGCAGCAGGGCCCUACUCACCCCAUGGGCAGCCACUGGUUAGAGAUACCCCGGCCGCCUGGGUGCCCAAGCCGAGCCUCCCCUGGGGGCCGUGUGCGUCCCAUUUGGAGUCCCCACCAUGCCCACUGUCCUCUCCACAGCUGCUCUGGUGGGUGGGGUGCUGGCCUACCAGGGUGCAGCAGGGACACCAGGAAGCUCAGCACCUCACUCAGCACCUGCUCUUCAGGCUGAAGCUGGCAGCGGGACCACCUCCACUUGCCUAGGACUGCAGAGCACAACCUGGCACCCUCCUGAAGAUGACGCACAUGAUCAUGACCCACAGGACCCAGCGGCUCCACCCCCAGGGGUGAGCCUGAAAGAAGCAAAAACACACAGCCACACACACACACACAGCCACACACACAGCCACACACACACACACAGCCACACACACACAGCCACACACACAGCCACACACACACACAGCCACACAGAGACUGCAGGAAAGCUCACAGCAGCUUUGUGCACAGCAGCCAAAAGGCAGAGACAGCUCACAUGUCCACAGACUGACAGAUGGACAAACACCAUAUGUUCACCCACAUGGGGAGCAUCAUUCAGCAUAGAAAGGAAUGGGGCACAGGCACGCGCCAACACGGGGGCAUCGUGAAAGCACUGUGCUCGGCGAAGGAAGCCACACACGACCGCCUGCCAGAACACAUGCUACACACAACGGUGUGUCACACACAACCACACAUCACACGGAACACGUUACAUGCAAUGGUGUAUCACACACAACCACGUCACACGGACCACAUGGAAUGCAUGUUACAAUCAUAAAUCACACAAACCACAUGUCACAUGGAACAUGUGUUACACACCGUAUCUUACACAUAACUGCACGUCAUACAGAAUGUGUGUUACACACAACUGUAUCUCACACACAACCGCACAUCAUACAGAACGCAUGUUACACACAAUCAUAUCUCCCACACAACCGCAUGUCACAUGGAUGAAAUGGAACGCAUGUUACACACAAUCAUAAAUCACACACAACCACAUGUCACACAGAACGCAGAACAGGGAAGUCCCCAGAGACGGAAGCAGAUGAGGGACUGCUUAGGCCUGGGGAGGAGGGUGAUGGCUAAAAGCUGUGGGGUUUCUUUCUGAGGUGAAGCGAAUGUUCUAAAAGGGCCCGUGGGGAUGUUGCCCAUCUAUAAACACGCUGAAAGCCAUGGACGUGUCCACUGGAAGGGGAGGGAUCAUAUGAUAUGUGAGCUACGUCUCAAAGAAAGCUGUUUUUUCAAAAAGACUUGUUUCCCGUCUCCCCCGAGGGCUUCCUGGACUCCUGUUGCUUGUCUCUGUCACGAAUCCUCACCCCAAAAUCAUAGGAUGAACACCCCAAAGAAAUCAUGAGAACUCUUCUCUUUGUAGCAAACCACCAAAGGAGAAAUUCAUGCUUGAAACUGUAUCCAAACGGAUCAGGGGCCCAAGGGCUGGAUGAUCUUCACCGCAGCUGGUCUCUGAAAACAUGCCUUGUGACCUGCAGUGAGGAGUCCGCAUCUGUCUGUGCCACCUGCUGAGACUGUCCUCUCUCGGGCUCCCAUGGGGGCUGCGGGCUGGAGCGGGGCCAGGAGGGAGGGGGAUGGACGGCUGGGAGGAGGACAGACACCCACACCUCGGUGACAGGUGACAGGCGUUGGCUUGGGCAGAGCCUCGGUGACCUGCCUAGGUUUUCUUCCCCAAAGCAGAUCCCAGCUGCGUCUGCACCCAGCAGGCCCCAGAGCCUUCUCCUCCGUGGGGGGGUGGGGGUAAGUCCCCUCCUGCUGGGCUGCCAGGCCUCAGGCAGCCUCGACGCAGCUCUGCACCCAGCUCCCGGCUCCCACAGAGAGCCCUGCAGCUACAGCCGGGGCGGCAGCUUCCAGUGGGCUUCCUGGACCCCUGUCUCCCAGCCACGCCGACCGCAGCCACUAUGUGGCUCCUUACAGUCCUCCCCCGGGACCCCUCAGCCCCCACUGGCCUCCGUCUCCCCAUCCUGGUGCCCCUCUGCUCUCUGUGGGUCUCCAUGGGUCACCCCACUGCCCCGUUCAUCUCUCCGUCCUGGCGCCCUCUGCCCUCCGAGGGUCACCCCCGCCGCCCUCUCAUCUCUCAGGUCUUGUCCCUGCCUGGCAGCGGGUUGAGCACUGGGCCCACUCCUGGGCCUCCCAGCUCCCUUGGGACCAUCUCUCUCACCUCUCCAGCCCCUCCAGCUGUGGACACUGACCCCUGCCUGGCUAUGGGGCUCUAGGGCAAGCCCCUCCGGCUCCAGGCCUUCAGCCCCCUCCCCCCAGCCACACCCAGGAAGGAAGGAAGCCCCCACUGCUCUGCCCCUUGGAGGGUCAGCGACGCCUGCCCGCACAGGGAAGCUCUCC
This 12762-nucleotide long non-coding RNA is filed under the name Homo sapiens (human). Its description in RNAcentral is "non-protein coding lnc-STK32C-2:3". The record is from RNAcentral. Lineage: Eukaryota; Metazoa; Chordata; Mammalia; Primates; Hominidae.